UACGGGGGAGCAAGCGUUGUUCGGAUUUACUGGGCGUAAAGGGCGCGUAGGCGGUCGUGACAAGUCACUUGUGAAAUCUCCGGGCUUAACUCGGAACGGUCAAGUGAUACUGUCGGACUAGAGUACAGAAGGGGCAACUGGAAUUCUCGGUGUAGCGGUGAAAUGCGUAGAUAUCGAGAGGAACACCUGCGGCGAAGGCGGGUUGCUGGGCUGAUACUGACGCUGAGGCGCGAAAGCCAGGGGAGCGAACGGGA
This 254-nucleotide ribosomal RNA is filed under the name uncultured bacterium. RNAcentral's name for it is "partial 16S ribosomal RNA". It matches the Rfam family "Bacterial small subunit ribosomal RNA", at positions 524 to 777 of the family's 1533-position model. The record is from RNAcentral.